This 434-nucleotide ribosomal RNA is filed under the name uncultured bacterium. Its description in RNAcentral is "partial 16S ribosomal RNA". It matches the Rfam family "Bacterial small subunit ribosomal RNA", at positions 29 to 507 of the family's 1533-position model. The record is from RNAcentral.
AGUGAACGCUGGCGGCAGGCCUAACACAUGCAAGUCGAACGAACCUUUCGGGGUUAGUGGCGGACGGGUGAGUAACACGUGGGAACGUGCCUGUAGGUUUGGAAUAACUCAGGGAAACUUGUGCUAAUAUCGAAUGUGCUCUUCGGGGGAAAGAUUAAUCGCCCUUAGAGCGGCCGGCGUCCGAUUAGCUAGUUGGUUGAGGUAAUGGCUCACCAAGGCGACGUUCUGUAGAUGGUCUGAGAGGAUGGGCAGACACAUUGGGACCGGGACGCAGCCCAGAAUCCUACGGAAGGCGGCAAAGGGGGAUCUAGCGCAAUGGGCGGAGGGCUGACGCAGCCAUGCCGCGUAAAUGAUGAAGGUCGUAGAGAUAAAAAGUUCUUUCACCGGGGACGAUAAUGACGGUACCCGGAGAAGAAGCCCCGGCUAACUUCGUG